UAAAUACUGCUACCACAUAACAGAAUAGAGCAGCUUUAUGCAGGAAAAUAGGGGGGGAGAGAGAUCUAAGUACAGAGAUAGAGAUAGAGAUAGAGAGAGAGAGAGAGAGAGAGAGAAUCAAAUCACAGCUACCACUCAGGCCUCUGCAUGAAUCCAAGCAAGCAAGCUCUAUCCAAAUCAAUUGCCAUGUAUCAUCCUUGUUUUCGAAUAAGCAUGCCGCCUCCUAUAAGCUAUUUAGUGUUUAAAGUCGGUUGUUAUUAUCUGAGUUGUUAUUUCUGAGAUCGAAAGUUUGAUUUUUGUUGGUGUGUUUUAUCAGUGGAGCUCAAACCCGUAUCUUCUUGGAUGUUAUAAUAAAUUAGAAAAACAAAGAGUUCUGACUGAA
Ananas comosus (pineapple) is the source of this 382-nucleotide long non-coding RNA. RefSeq lists it as uncharacterized. The transcript is spliced from 2 exons. NCBI's taxonomy places the organism in Eukaryota, Viridiplantae, Streptophyta, Magnoliopsida, Poales, Bromeliaceae. The record is from RefSeq and is a predicted model, not a curated record.